CUGCCAUGGCAGAAACAGAUUCACCACCCCAUGUAGCAAUUUUACCUAGUCCAGGGAUGGGUCAUCUCAUCCCACUCGUUGAGUUAGCCAAGAGACUUGUUCACCAACACAACUUGUCAGUCACCUUCAUCAUUCCGACAGACGGUUCUCCCUCUAAAGCUCAAAGAUCAGUUCUUGGAUCACUCCCUAGCACUAUUCACUCAGUAUUUCUCCCCCCUGUAAAUUUAAGUGACCUCCCUGAAGAUGUCAAGAUUGAAACCUUAAUUAGCCUUACCGUGGCUCGCUCCCUUCCUUCUCUACGUGAUGUUCUUAGUUCUCUAGUCGCCAGUGGUACUAGAGUUGUGGCCUUGGUUGUUGAUCUUUUUGGGACUGAUGCAUUUGAUGUUGCUAGAGAAUUCAAAGCCUCUC
RNAcentral lists this long non-coding RNA (408 nucleotides) under Populus trichocarpa (black cottonwood). RNAcentral's name for it is "long non-coding RNA (PTRI_LNC003295)". The record is from RNAcentral. Lineage: Eukaryota; Viridiplantae; Streptophyta; Magnoliopsida; Malpighiales; Salicaceae.